CUCUCCCUCUGUCGGCAGGCCUAACACAUGCAAGUCGAACGAACCUUUCGGGGUUAGUGGCGGACGGGUGAGUAACACGUGGGAACGUGCCUUUAGGUUCGGAAUAACUCAGGGAAACUUGUGCUAAUACCGAAUGUGCCCUUCGGGGGAAAGAUUAAUCGCCUUUAGAGCGGCCCGCGUCUGAUUAGCUAGUUGGUUGAGGUAAUGGCUCACCAAGGCGACGAUCAGUAGCUGGUCUGAGAGGAUGAUCAGCCACAUUGGGACUGAGACACGGCCCAAACUCCUACGGGAGGCAGCAGUGGGGACUCUUGCGCAAUGGGCGAAAGCCUGACGCAGCCAUGCCGCGUGAAUGAUGAAGGUCUUAGGAUUGUAAAAUUCUUUCACCGGGGACGAUAAUGACGGUACCCGGAGAAGAAGCCCCGGCUAACUUCGUG
RNAcentral lists this ribosomal RNA (434 nucleotides) under uncultured bacterium. Its description in RNAcentral is "partial 16S ribosomal RNA". It matches the Rfam family "Bacterial small subunit ribosomal RNA", at positions 36 to 507 of the family's 1533-position model. The record is from RNAcentral.